Molecule: ribosomal RNA, 479 nt
Filed under: uncultured bacterium
Lineage: Bacteria
Description: SSU rRNA
Rfam family: Bacterial small subunit ribosomal RNA
Source: RNAcentral
AGGACGAACGCUGGCGGCGUGCUUAACACAUGCAAGUCGAACGGUGAAGGGGAGCUUGCUCCCCGGAUCAGUGGCGAACGGGUGAGUAACACGUGGGCAACCUGCCCCUAGCUCUGGGAUAACUCCGGGAAACCGGGGCUAAUACCGGAUACGACAUCUAGUGACAUCACUUGAUGUGGAAAGUUUUUCGGCUAGGGAUGGGCCCGCGGCCUAUCAGCUUGUUGGUGGGGUAACGGCCCACCAAGGCGACGACGGGUAGCCGGCCUGAGAGGGCGACCGGCCACACUGGGACUGAGACACGGCCCAGACUCCUACGGGAGGCAGCAGUGGGGAAUAUUGCGCAAUGGGCGAAAGCCUGACGCAGCGACGCCGCGUGAGGGACGAAGGCCUUCGGGUUGUAAACCUCUUUCAGCAGGACGAAGCCGCAAGGUGACUGUACCUGCAGAAGAAGCACCGGCUAACUACGCGCCAGCAGCCGC